GAUGAACGCUAGCGGCAGGCCUAAUACAUGCAAGUCGAACGCGAUUCUUUUCUUCGGAGAAGAUGAAAGUGGCGCACGGGUGCGUAACGCGUAUGCAACCUACCCUUUACUGGGGGAUAGCCCGGAGAAAUCCGGAUUAAUACCCCAUAGUAUUACAGAUUGGCAUCAUGAAGUAAUUAAAGAUUUAUUGGUAAAGGAUGGGCAUGCGUGACAUUAGUUAGUUGGUAAGGUAACGGCUUACCAAGACUAUGAUGUCUAGGGGUUCUGAGAGGAUGAUCCCCCACACUGGUACUGAGAUACGGACCAG
This 307-nucleotide ribosomal RNA is filed under the name uncultured bacterium. Its description in RNAcentral is "bacterial SSU rRNA". It matches the Rfam family "Bacterial small subunit ribosomal RNA", at positions 28 to 334 of the family's 1533-position model. The record is from RNAcentral.